GUGUUUGGUGUAGUUUUAUGAAAAUGCACCACAAAACUAAAACCUACAAGAAGAAGAUUCCCUAGUAGAAUCCCUCCAACUACCAUCAUCCCAUGUACAUUGGAUCUACCAUCUGAUUCAUCCAAUCUUCAAAUCUAUCAAACUCCAGAAAGAAAUUCAUAAUUUCUCAAACCAAUUACACAUCAUACCAAUGAAGAUUCAAAUUAAUAAUAUGUCAAUAAAAAUUACUUCAGUAAUUAAAACCUUAUAACUGAUCAACCAUCAUAAGGAAAAGCAGCUCUUGAAUUUUGUUGCAAACUUUUCUGCACAAAAGUCUUCCUCCACUCUAUCUCCUUCACUUUUCCAGAUUUCUCUCACCCAAAAACUUAUCAAGACCCACUCUUGGUAUAGAUUUUCUACCUCUCCAU
RNAcentral lists this long non-coding RNA (407 nucleotides) under Coffea arabica (coffee). RNAcentral describes it as "long non-coding RNA (CARA_LNC007185)". The record is from RNAcentral. Lineage: Eukaryota; Viridiplantae; Streptophyta; Magnoliopsida; Gentianales; Rubiaceae.